UACGUAGGAGGCAAGCGUUGUCCGGAAUUACUGGGUGUAAAGCGCGUGUAGGCGGCAGGCCAAGUCUGUGGUGAAAUCGCUCGGCUCAACUGGGCGGGGUCCAUGGAAACUGGUCAGCUGGAGGACGGUAGAGGUGAGUGGAAUUCCCGGUGUAGUGGUGAAAUGCGUAGAGAUCGGGAAGAACAUCGGUGGCGAAGGCGGUCUGCUGGGCCGUUGCUGACGCUGAGGCGCGACAGCGUGGGGAGCAAACAGG
This 253-nucleotide ribosomal RNA is filed under the name uncultured bacterium. RNAcentral describes it as "partial 16S ribosomal RNA". It matches the Rfam family "Bacterial small subunit ribosomal RNA", at positions 524 to 776 of the family's 1533-position model. The record is from RNAcentral.